AGAGCAUUAAUAAUAGUAUGAAAUAGCAGAAUAAAAAUGGUAUAAAACAGCAUAAGCUGGAUGAAGUGUUUAGCACCAGUAAUAUUAAAAAUGCACAUUUUGCAAGAGGCUUAUCGCCAUUUGAGUUGUAUUAUAUUCCAGCUAUGAGAGAACUUAUGGACAAACAAUCGCAUCUAGAAUUAGACAUAGAAGAAGAAAUGUCAUAACUGUUAAGAAGAAAAGAUAUUACGACAUUUGUUUGUUGUGUCACAUGCAGAAAACUCGGACAGGUAGAGUCCAGUGAAGCCAGGAGAUUGGGUAUUCCUAAAAGUCAUCAAAAGGAAACACUGGCACUCUCCAAGGUGGGAUGGACCGUUUCAAGUCCUAUUGACAACACCCACAGCAGUCCGAGUCAAAUAAAGAGCAUCCUGAAGACACCUGGCACACUGUAAACGGGUAAAUAUAUCACCCACUCCUGCGGGAGACACUGAUCCUCCAUAAAAGCAGAAACUGGACCUCUUCGUUGGGUGUACAGUCCAGCAUGGUGGACACAACAAAGGGCAAGAUACAACCUCUGACACCUGAGCCAAGCAAGUAGCAGAGAAGACGGGGAGCAAUAAUCGCUGCGUUAUUCACUAACCGUACACUCGCUUACAGUUCUUCUACAGUAGAAUAUUUGAUGACAUAUCACCGUUUAUUGAACUCACGUACCGUUCGUCCAGGAAGGAAAGCUGCGGAGGUUACUGCAGUGAGAUCUCAACUUCGCAGAACGUCACAGUGCCAUCGGACAUCCUCAAAAAAGGAAGUUGGAAAAUGGAAGUUAAUUACGAAAGAGAAGAUGAAGAGUCCUGCAAUGCUCUGGCUACCCACUUUAAAAGCAAAGGAGUCUUCGUCGUCAAUGAGCCAGCUGAACAACCGGAGGGAGCAGAAGCCAGUGCUUCUGCAUCACGGAAACGGCUAGCUCCAGUUGGGAGAGCUUCCUGGAAGAGUUCUCUGUCACUGCACAAGGCAGAAUUCCUUCCAGAGAAGACAUCCACAGUGCUGGAUUUGGGG
RNAcentral lists this long non-coding RNA (1032 nucleotides) under Cottoperca gobio. RNAcentral's name for it is "lncRNA (ENSCGOG00000013239.1)". Lineage: Eukaryota; Metazoa; Chordata; Actinopteri; Perciformes; Bovichtidae. The record is from RNAcentral.